This 253-nucleotide ribosomal RNA is filed under the name uncultured bacterium. RNAcentral's name for it is "partial 16S ribosomal RNA". It matches the Rfam family "Bacterial small subunit ribosomal RNA", at positions 524 to 776 of the family's 1533-position model. The record is from RNAcentral.
GACGAAGGGGGCUAGCGUUGCUCGGAAUCACUGGGCGUAAAGGGUGCGUAGGCGGGUCUUUAAGUCAGGGGUGAAAUCCUGGAGCUCAACUCCAGAACUGCCUUUGAUACUGAAGAUCUUGAGUUCGGGAGAGGUGAGUGGAACUGCGAGUGUAGAGGUGAAAUUCGUAGAUAUUCGCAGGAACACCAGUGGCGAAGGCGGCUCACUGGCCCGAUACUGACGCUGAGGCACGAAAGCGUGGGGAGCAAACAGG